This 68-nucleotide transfer RNA is filed under the name Rattus norvegicus (Norway rat). It matches the Rfam family "tRNA". Rfam says of the family: Transfer RNA (tRNA) molecules are approximately 80 nucleotides in length. Lineage: Eukaryota; Metazoa; Chordata; Mammalia; Rodentia; Muridae. The record is from Rfam by way of RNAcentral.
GGGGAUUUAGCUCAGUGGUAGAGCGCUUGCCAGGAAGCGCAAGGCCCUGGGUUCGAUCCCCAGCUCCG